Molecule: long non-coding RNA, 209 nt
Filed under: Elaeis guineensis (African oil palm)
Lineage: Eukaryota; Viridiplantae; Streptophyta; Magnoliopsida; Arecales; Arecaceae
Description: long non-coding RNA (EGUI_LNC049393)
Source: RNAcentral
UAAUUAAGUUAGAUUUAAAUUAGUCUAAUUGGACCUAACUUAUUUGGUUCAAUUAUGUUGGUUUAAAUAAUUAAACCACCUUGACCCAAUCUCCAUGCGCCACCUCACUUCCAUUGCACCCAUUUGGAUUCAUGAGAAGGAACUUCUCAUGAAUUUUUUCCUCACACCAAGCCCUCUCCACGCCCCACUUUAAUGUGCCAAAUGAAUGG